UGGGAACUAGUUGUGGGGUCCAUUCCACGGAUUCUGUGACGCAGUUAACGCAUUAAGUUUCCCGCCUGGGGAGUACGGCCGCAAGGCUAAAACUCAAAGGAAUUGACGGGGACCCGCACAAGCGGCGGAGCAUGCGGAUUAAUUCGAUGCAACGCGAAGAACCUUACCAAGGCUUGACAUAUACGAGAACGCUGCAGAAAUGUAGAACUCUUUGGACACUCGUAAACAGGUGGUGCAUGGCUGUCGUCAG
Molecule: ribosomal RNA, 250 nt
Filed under: uncultured bacterium
Lineage: Bacteria
Description: partial 16S ribosomal RNA
Rfam family: Bacterial small subunit ribosomal RNA
Source: RNAcentral